UACAGAGGUCUCAAGCGUUGUUCGGAUUCAUUGGGCGUAAAGGGUGUGUAGGUGGCGCCGUUAGUCGGGUGUGAAAUUUCGGAGCUUAACUCCGAAACUGCAUUCGAUACUGCGGUGCUUGAGGGCUGGAGAGGAGACUGGAAUUCAUGGUGUAGCAGUGAAAUGCGUAGAGAUCAUGAGGAAGACCAGUGGCGAAGGCGGGUCUCUGGACAGUUCCUGACACUGAGACACGAAGGCCAGGGGAGCAAACGGG
RNAcentral lists this ribosomal RNA (253 nucleotides) under uncultured bacterium. RNAcentral's name for it is "partial 16S ribosomal RNA". It matches the Rfam family "Bacterial small subunit ribosomal RNA", at positions 524 to 776 of the family's 1533-position model. The record is from RNAcentral.